ACCGGGGGCGACAGCAAUAUGAAGGUCAGGCUGAAGACCUUACCCGAUUAGCUGAGAGGUGGUGCAUGGCCGUCGUCAGUUCGUACUGUGAAGCAUCCUGUUAAGUCAGGCAACGAGCGAGACCCACGUCCACAGUUGCCAGCAUACCCUCCGGGGUGAUGGGUACACUGUGGAGACCGCCGCUGCUAAAGCGGAGGAAGGAGUGGGCAACGGUAGGUCAGUAUGCCCCGAAUCUCCCGGGCUACACGCGGGCUACAAUGGUUGGUACAAUGGGCAUCUACCCCGAAAGGGGAAGGAAAUCUCUUAAAGCCAAUCGUAGUUCGGAUUGAGGGCUGCAACUCGCCCUCAUGAAGCUGGAAUCCGUAGUAAUCGCGUUUCAACAGAACGCGGUGAAUACGUCCCUGCUCCUU
Molecule: ribosomal RNA, 410 nt
Filed under: uncultured Methanosaeta sp.
Lineage: Archaea; Methanobacteriati; Methanobacteriota; Methanomicrobia; Methanotrichales; Methanotrichaceae
Description: bacterial SSU rRNA
Rfam family: Archaeal small subunit ribosomal RNA
Source: RNAcentral